RNAcentral lists this ribosomal RNA (200 nucleotides) under uncultured bacterium. RNAcentral's name for it is "partial 16S ribosomal RNA". It matches the Rfam family "Bacterial small subunit ribosomal RNA", at positions 28 to 237 of the family's 1533-position model. The record is from RNAcentral.
GAUGAACGCUGGCGGCGUGCUUAACACAUGCAAGUCAAGGGGGCCCAGCAAUGGGCAACCGGCGAACGGGUGCGUAACACGUGAGCAACCUACCGAAUUGUGGGGGAUAGCCGGCCCAACGGCCGGGUAAUACCGCAUACGCUCGAGACCAGGCAUUUGGAUUCGAGGAAAUUUACGGAGCAAUUCGAGGGGCUCGCGGC